Molecule: ribosomal RNA, 255 nt
Filed under: uncultured bacterium
Lineage: Bacteria
Description: partial 16S ribosomal RNA
Rfam family: Bacterial small subunit ribosomal RNA
Source: RNAcentral
UACGGGGGGGGCAAGCGUUGUUCGGAAUUACUGGGCGUAAAGGGCUCGUAGGCGGCCAACUAAGUCGGAUGUGAAAUCCCCAGGCUCAACUUGGGAACUGCAUCCGAUACUGGAUGGCUUGAAUUCGGGAGAGGGAUGCAGAAUUCCAGGUGUAGCGGUGAAAUGCGUAGAUAUCUGGAGGAAUACCGGUGGCGAAGGCGGCAUCCUGGACCGACAUUGACGCUGAGGAGCGAAAAGCUAGGGGAGCAAACGGGG